UAAUACGGAGGGUGCAAGCAUUAAUCGGAAUUAUUGGGCGUAAAGGGCGCGUAGGCGGAAAGAUAAGUCGGAUGUGAAAUUCCAAGGCUCAACCUUGGAGCUGCAUUUGAAACUGUCAUUCUAGAGGGUUGGCGGAGAAAAUGGAAUUCCACGUGUAGCGGUGAAAUGCGUAGAUAUGUGGAAGAACACCUGUGGCGAAAGCGGUUUUCUAGCUUAUACCUGACGCUGAGGCGCGAGAGCAAGGGGAGCAAACAGG
This 256-nucleotide ribosomal RNA is filed under the name uncultured bacterium. Its description in RNAcentral is "partial 16S ribosomal RNA". It matches the Rfam family "Bacterial small subunit ribosomal RNA", at positions 521 to 776 of the family's 1533-position model. The record is from RNAcentral.